RNAcentral lists this small nuclear RNA (141 nucleotides) under Callithrix jacchus (white-tufted-ear marmoset). RNAcentral describes it as "U4 spliceosomal RNA (ENSCJAG00000080986.1)". It matches the Rfam family "U4 spliceosomal RNA". Rfam says of the family: U4 small nuclear RNA (U4 snRNA) is a component of the major U2-dependent spliceosome. The structure of U4 snRNA from yeast and human has been reported. Lineage: Eukaryota; Metazoa; Chordata; Mammalia; Primates; Cebidae. The record is from Rfam by way of RNAcentral.
AGCUUUGUGCAGUGGCGGUAUUGUAGCCAAUGAGGUUUAUCCGAGGCGUGAUUAUUGCUAAUUGAAAACUUUUCCCAAUACCCCGCUGUGAUGACUUGAAAUAUAAUCAGCAUUGGCAAUUUUUGACAGUCUCUAUGGAGA